This is a long non-coding RNA of Mercurialis annua (annual mercury), 747 nucleotides long. RefSeq lists it as uncharacterized. The transcript has 3 exons. Lineage: Eukaryota; Viridiplantae; Streptophyta; Magnoliopsida; Malpighiales; Euphorbiaceae. The record is from RefSeq and is a predicted model, not a curated record.
CGUAACAAGUUAGAAACAGCAUCUUACCUAAUUCUUUGACUGCAACAGUUUCUUCUUUCAUUCCUUAUUUAAACACGUUUUUUUUUACCUAAAAUCAUUCCUCUGUUAAACAAAACACUAGCCGUCAUCUAGUUGGCCAAAACUCUCUGAUAUCCUAUCCAAAUUCAUAGUUCAUCGCUGGAAAAAAAAUCGCACCGAAUCAAGUUCCGUUUGUUUGCUGUUAUAGUUAACUCAGUCCUCUUCGAUCUCUAUGCUUCAGAAUUAAAAUUGCUGCUCGUACUUCUGAGUCCACUCAGGGUCACAUUGCCUCCUCGGAUUAUCACGUGAAUUGCAAGCUGUGAGUUUGUAUUAUCGUUUACCGCUUUAUUAAGUAAAAUAUAUUAUUUUUACAUAUUGUAAAUGCAGCUUUAAAAGAGUUUUUAACUUGUUAUGGAUCUGGAUCGAAACGAGCUACUUGAUUAGCAUCAUCGAGACUGUGUGCACCGGUAAUAUAUAUUUGACGGAUUAUUAUAUGGCCUACUUUGGUUAUCGGCGGAGUUAUAUCUUUUUCCUACUUUGGUUUCGACGAGAAUGUAUUCUCGUCUUUUUAUUAUUGAUUCAAUACUUAGUAUGAACUCCUCUAAGGAAACUGACCCCCGUUGUUUAACUAUUUUUUAGGUUUACAGUUUUAAGCGAGUUGUGAACCUCCUUUUGUUUGAUUCUCGAAGGUUUAUUUUUAUUGAAUAAAAGAGUCGAACUUUACUUAAA